CCUACGGGUGGCAGCAGUGAGGAAUAUUGGUCAAUGGACGCAAGUCUGAACCAGCCAUGCCGCGUGCAGGAAGACGGCUCUAUGAGUUGUAAACUGCUUUUGUACGAGGGUAAACGCAGAUACGUGUAUCUGUCUGCAAGUAUCGUACGAAUAAGGAUCGGCUAACUCCGUGCCAGCAGCCGCGGUAAUACGGAGGAUUCAAGCGUUAUCCGGAUUUAUUGGGUUUAAAGGGUGCGUAGGCGGUCGGAUAAGUUAGGGGUGAAAUCCCGAGGCUCAACUUCGGAAUUGCCUCUGAUCCGGGUGGGGUAGAGAGUAGGUGCGGUAGGCGGAAGGGAGGGGGUAGGGGGGAAAGGGUGAGAG
Molecule: ribosomal RNA, 360 nt
Filed under: uncultured bacterium
Lineage: Bacteria
Description: partial 16S ribosomal RNA
Rfam family: Bacterial small subunit ribosomal RNA
Source: RNAcentral